GAUGAACGCUGGCGGCGUGCCUAAUACAUGCAAGACGAGCGAAUGGAUUGAGAGCUUGCUCUUAUGAAGUUAGCGGCGGACGGGUGAGUGACACGUGGGUAACCUGCCCAUAAGACUGGGAUAACUCCGGGAAACCGGGGCUAAUACCGGAUAACAUUUUGAACCGCAUGGUUCGAAAUUGAAAGGCGGCUUCGGCUGUCACUUAUGGAUGGACCCGCGUCGCAUUAGCUAGUUGGUGAGGUAACGGCUCACCAAGGCAACGAUGCGUAGCCGACCUGAGAGGGUGAUCGGCCACACUGGGACUGAGACACGGCCCAGACUCCUACGGGAGGCAGCAGUAGGGAAUCUUCCGCAAUGGACGAAAGUCUGACGGAGCAACGCCGCGUGAGUGAUGAAGGCUUUCGGGUCGUAAAACUCUGUUGUUAGGGAAGAACAAGUGCUAGUUGAAUAAGCUGGCACCUUGACGGUACCUAACCAGAAAGCCACGGCUAACUACGUGCCAGCAGCCGCCGUAA
RNAcentral lists this ribosomal RNA (515 nucleotides) under uncultured bacterium. RNAcentral's name for it is "partial 16S ribosomal RNA". It matches the Rfam family "Bacterial small subunit ribosomal RNA", at positions 28 to 523 of the family's 1533-position model. The record is from RNAcentral.